RNAcentral lists this transfer RNA (77 nucleotides) under methanogenic archaeon mixed culture ISO4-G1. RNAcentral describes it as "tRNA-Met". It matches the Rfam family "tRNA". From Rfam's summary of the family: Transfer RNA (tRNA) molecules are approximately 80 nucleotides in length. Their secondary structure includes four short double-helical elements and three loops (D, anti-codon, and T loops). Further hydrogen bonds mediate the characteristic L-shaped molecular structure. tRNAs have two regions of fundamental functional importance: the anti-codon, which is responsible for specific mRNA codon recognition, and the 3' end, to which the tRNAs corresponding amino acid is attached (by aminoacyl-tRNA synthetases). tRNAs cope with the degeneracy of the genetic code in two manners: having more than one tRNA (with a specific anti-codon) for a particular amino acid; and 'wobble' base-pairing, i.e. permitting non-standard base-pairing at the 3rd anti-codon position. Lineage: Archaea; Methanobacteriati; Methanobacteriota; Methanomicrobia; Methanomicrobiales. The record is from RNAcentral.
GGGCUCUUAGCUUAGUCAGGUAGAGCGCUCGGCUCAUAACCGAGCGGCCACCGGUUCGAACCCGGUAGGGCCCACCA